This 460-nucleotide ribosomal RNA is filed under the name uncultured bacterium. Its description in RNAcentral is "partial 16S ribosomal RNA". It matches the Rfam family "Bacterial small subunit ribosomal RNA", at positions 338 to 795 of the family's 1533-position model. The record is from RNAcentral.
CCUACGGGAGGCAGCAGUGAGGAAUAUUGGUCAAUGGGCGAGAGCCUGAACCAGCCAAGUAGCGUGAAGGAUGACUGCCCUACGGGUUGUAACCUUCUUUUAUAGGGGAAUAAAGUGAGGCACGUGUGCCUUUUUGUAUGUACUUUAUGAAUAAGGAUAGGCUAACUCCGUGCCAGCAGCCGCGGUAAUACGGAGGAUCCGAGCGUUAUCCGGAUUUGUUGGGUUUAAAGGGAGCGUAGAUGGGUUGUUAAGUCAGUUGUGAAAGUUUGCGGCUCAACCGUAAAAUUGCAAUUGAUACUGGCAGUCUUGAGUACAGUAGAGGUAGGCGGAAUUCGUGGUGUAGCGGUGAAAUGCUUAGAUAUCACGAAGAACUCCGAUUGCGAAGGCAGCUUACUGGACUGCCACUGACACUGAUGCGCGAAAGUGUGGGUAUCAAACAGGAUUAGAUACCCGAGUAGUC